Molecule: ribosomal RNA, 810 nt
Filed under: uncultured bacterium
Lineage: Bacteria
Description: bacterial SSU rRNA
Rfam family: Bacterial small subunit ribosomal RNA
Source: RNAcentral
CCAUAGUGUGNUCUGGAAACUGUCUGACUUGAGUGCAGAAGGGGAGAGUGGAAUUCCAUGUGUAGCGGUGAAAUGCGUAGAUAUAUGGAGGANCACCAGUGGCGAAAGCGGCUCUCUGGUCUGUCACUGACGCUGAGGCUCGAAAGCGUGGGUAGCGAACAGGAUUAGAUACCCUGGUAGUCCACGCCGUAAACGAUGAGUGCUAGGUGUUAGGCCCUUUCCGGGGCUUAGUGCCGGAGCUAACGCAAUAAGCACUCCGCCUGGGGAGUACGACCGCAAGGUUGAAACUCAAAGGAAUUGACGGGGGCCCGCACAAGCGGUGGAGCAUGUGGUUUAAUUCGAAGCAACGCGAAGAACCUUACCAGGUCUUGACAUCCCGAUGCUAUUCUUAGAGAUAGGAAGUUACUUCGGUACAUCGGAGACAGGUGGUGCAUGGUUGUCGUCAGCUCGUGUCGUGAGAUGUUGGGUUAAGUCCCGCAACGAGCGCAACCCUUAUUGUUAGUUGCCAUCAUUAAGUUGGGCACUCUAGCGAGACUGCCGGUAAUAAACCGGAGGAAGGUGGGGAUGGCGUCAAAUCAUCAUGCCCCUUAUGACCUGGGCUACACACGUGCUACAAUGGUCGGUACAACGAGUUGCGAGCCGGUGACGGCAAGCUAAUCUCUGAAAGCCGAUCUCAGUUCGGAUUGGAGGCUGCAACUCGCCUCCAUGAAGUCGGAAUCGCUAGUAAUCGCGGAUCAGCACGCCGCGGUGAAUACGUUCCCGGGCCUUGUACACACCGCCCGUCACACCACGAGAGUUUGUAACACCCGA